RNAcentral lists this ribosomal RNA (414 nucleotides) under uncultured microorganism. Its description in RNAcentral is "bacterial SSU rRNA". It matches the Rfam family "Archaeal small subunit ribosomal RNA", at positions 459 to 872 of the family's 1478-position model. The record is from RNAcentral.
CAGCCGCCGCGGUAAUACCGGCGGCCCGAGUGGCGGUCCCUCUUAUUUGGCUUAAAGCGUCCGUAGCCGGGUUGGGAAGUCCUCCGGGAAAUCUGGCCGCUUAACGGUCAGAAUGCCGGAGGAUACUCCCAGCCUAGGGAGCGGGAGAGGCCGAGGGUAUUCCCGGAGUAGGGGUGAAAUCCUAUAAUCCCGGGAGGACCACCUGUGGCGAAGGCGCUCGGCUGGAACGCGUCCGACGGUGAGGGACGAAGGCCAGGGGAGCAAACCGGAUUAGAUACCCGGGUAGUCCUGGCUGUAAACGAUGCGGACUUUGUGUCGGACAAGCUAUGAGCUUGUCCGGUGCCGGAGGGAAACCGUUAAGUCCGCCGCCUGGGGAGUACGGCCGCAAGGCUGAAACUUAAAGGAAUUGGCGGG